This 134-nucleotide unclassified non-coding RNA is filed under the name soil metagenome. Its description in RNAcentral is "partial internal transcribed spacer 1". The record is from RNAcentral.
CAGAGUUGCAAAACUCCCAAACCCUUUGUGAACGUACUGAAAAGUUGCUUCGGCGGGAGGCUCCUCAGGGAGCGGACCGCCGGAGGAAUCCAAACCUUGUUUUUUUGGCAUCUCUGAGUAGCUUAUAAUAAGUU